Molecule: unclassified non-coding RNA, 225 nt
Filed under: plant metagenome
Description: partial contains small subunit ribosomal RNA, internal transcribed spacer 1, and 5.8S ribosomal RNA
Source: RNAcentral
UAUCCGUUGGUGAACCAGCGGAGGGAUCAUUACUGGACUCGCAAGACUCCUACAACCCUGUGAACUUAACUAUAAGCACGUUGCUUCGGCGGGUGUCUCGGAGGGGGUUCUCCCUCCCCGAGACGCUAAACCCGCCGGCAGCCUACUAUACUCUGUCUCUUUGCGUUGGCAUCUCGAGUACAAUCAAACAAGUUAAAACUUUCAACAACGGAUCUCUUGGUUCUG